Molecule: ribosomal RNA, 233 nt
Filed under: Comamonadaceae bacterium PBBC2
Lineage: Bacteria; Pseudomonadati; Pseudomonadota; Betaproteobacteria; Burkholderiales; Comamonadaceae
Description: partial 23S ribosomal RNA
Rfam family: Bacterial large subunit ribosomal RNA
Source: RNAcentral
CCUCUGGUGUAUCGGUUGUCACGCCAGUGGCAUUGCCGAGUAGCUAAGUGUGGAAGAGAUAACCGCUGAAAGCAUCUAAGCGGGAAACUCGUUUCAAGAUGAGAUCUGCCGGGGCCUUGAGCCCCCUGAAGAGUCGUUCAAGACCAGGACGUUGAUAGGUCAGGUGUGGAAGCGCAGUAAUGCGUUAAGCUAACUGAUACUAAUUGCUCGUGCGGCUUGACCCUAUAACUUUG